UACGAAGGGGGCUAGCGUUGCUCGGAAUCACUGGGCGUAAAGCGCACGUAGGCGGAUUGUUAAGUCAGGGGUGAAAUCCUGGAGCUCAACUCCAGAACUGCCUUUGAUACUGGCGACCUUGAGUCCGGGAGAGGUGAGUGGAACUGCGAGUGUAGAGGUGAAAUUCGUAGAUAUUCGCAAGAACACCAGUGGCGAAGGCGGCUCACUGGCCCGGUACUGACGCUGAGGCACGAAAGCGUGGGGAGCAAACAGG
Molecule: ribosomal RNA, 253 nt
Filed under: uncultured bacterium
Lineage: Bacteria
Description: partial 16S ribosomal RNA
Rfam family: Bacterial small subunit ribosomal RNA
Source: RNAcentral